AGAGUUUGAUCAUGGCUCAGAAUCAACGCUGGCGGCGCGCUUAACACAUGCAAGUCGAACGAGAAAGUGGAGCAAUCCAUGAGUACAGUGGCGUACGGGUGAGUAACACGUGGGUAAUCUACCUUUUAGUGUGGAAUAACCCUGGGAAACCAGGGCUAAUACCGCAUAAGUCCGAGAGGAGAAAGUCGCAAGACGCUGAAAGAGGAGCCCGCGGCCGAUUAGCUAGUUGGUGAGGUAAAAGCCCACCAAGGCAGAGAUCGGUAGCCGGCCUGAGAGGGCACACGGCCACACUGGCACUGAAACACGGGCCAGACUCCUACGGGAGGCAGCAGUGGGGAAUCUUGCACAAUGGGGGAAACCCUGAUGCAGCGACGCCGCGUGAGCGAUGAAGCCCUUCGGGGUGUAAAGCUCUUUCGGCAGGGAAGAUGAUGACGGUACCUGCAGAAGCAGCUGCGGCUAACUACGUGCCAGCAGCCGCGGUAAUACGUAGGCAGCGAGCGUUGUUCGGAGUUACUGGGCGUAAAGGGUGUGUAGGCGGUUUCUUAAGUUUGGUGUGAAAUCUCCCGGCUUAACCGGGAGGGUGCGCCGAAUACUGAGGGACUAGAGUGCGGGAGAGGAAAGUGGAAUUCCUGGUGUAGCGGUGAAAUGCGUAGAUAUCAGGAGGAACACCGGUGGUGUAGACGGCUUUCUGGACCGUAACUGACGCUGAAACACGAAAGCGUGGGUAGCAAACAGGAUUAGAUACCCUGGUAGUCCACGCCCUAAACGAUGCAUAUUUGGUGUGGGUCAUUCAGUUGAUCCGUGCCGGAGCUAACGCGUUAAAUAUGCCGCCUGGGGGAGUACAGUCGCAAGGCUGAAACUCAAAGGAAUUGACGGGGCCCGCACAAGCGGUGGAGCAUGU
This 901-nucleotide ribosomal RNA is filed under the name uncultured bacterium. Its description in RNAcentral is "bacterial SSU rRNA". It matches the Rfam family "Bacterial small subunit ribosomal RNA", at positions 8 to 942 of the family's 1533-position model. The record is from RNAcentral.